GUAUAAUUUUAUGUCUUUUAAAUGUUUAGGCGGCAGCAAGUGCUCUUACCUGGAGCAACACUGCUAGAUAGUAGUGACCUGUGGAUAUCAAUUCUGUGGACAUUCUCUGAGUGCCCAGUGUAUGACAAAUGUCUCAGCUGUGAUAUACUCUAGAUGUCUCAGAUGUUGAGGGAACAAUCAAAGCCACCUCCAAUGUCUGUUCUAAGGGUGGAAACCCAUACUCGGUGUUGUGUUAGAAUCUUGGCUCAUCUCCAGACAGACCACACCAGGCUAAUACAGUCCCAGGUAGAAGAGGUUUAUUGGGGAUGAGGAAGACAAGAGGGGGUUGGGGAGAGAAGAGAGAAAAAGAGGACAGGGCAGAGAAGGUCUGCUUUUUAUUUAAACUAUGAUGUAACUGUUCCCAGGUGAAGGUGGGAGCUGAACCAAAUGUAUGCUGGGAAUGUAUGGCCGUUGCCAUGGCAGCGGAUGCACAGUUCCCUGUCCCCUGCAGGUGACAUCAUUGCUGGAGGCGAAAGUGGUUCCUGAUAAACAACAUUCGGUGUCUAGAUUCACAAACCUGCUUUCCUUGAGAUGUCUCAUUCAGGAAAGUCUGCAAAACAAGAACUAAUCUUAUCAGUGGUCUGGGGAAAUGAGCCUGCUGCAUAACUACAGGAACCUGAGUUUGAACCCUCGUCCCUGUGGCUAAACACCUGGAGGUGAAGUUCGGCAGGAUCCAAGAAGCAGAAGAGAUGGUCAUUCAAGAAAGAUGCUGAGAAGAGUUGACAGGGCACAGCACACUCGAAGGAGGCCUUUUCCUUCCAUUCAGCAUCUCAUUCAACUGUCAACAGUACCUGAAGGCUGAGACUUCUGACUUCGCCCAGAAGUAUAAUCUAAGUAUAUGCCAUAAAAAUAUUUAACAUUUAUCAAGGUACUUGGUACACCAGACAAAAUGUUG
Molecule: long non-coding RNA, 934 nt
Filed under: Rattus norvegicus (Norway rat)
Lineage: Eukaryota; Metazoa; Chordata; Mammalia; Rodentia; Muridae
Description: long non-coding RNA NONRATT032985
Source: RNAcentral